Molecule: ribosomal RNA, 447 nt
Filed under: uncultured bacterium
Lineage: Bacteria
Description: partial 16S ribosomal RNA
Rfam family: Bacterial small subunit ribosomal RNA
Source: RNAcentral
AACGAACGCUGGCGGCAGGCUUAACACAUGCAAGUCGAGCGCGUAGCAAUACGAGCGGCAGACGGGUGAGUAACGCGUGGGAAUCUACCGAGCCCUAAGGAAUAGCUCCGGGAAACUGGAAUUAAUACCUUAUACGCCCUUUGGGGGAAAGAUUUAUCGGGGUUUGAUGAGCCCGCGUUGGAUUAGCUAGUUGGUGGGGUAAAGGCCUACCAAGGCAACGAUCCAUAGCUGGUCUGAGAGGAUGAUCAGCCACAUUGGGACUGAGACACGGCCCAAACUCCUACGGGAGGCAGCAGUGGGGAAUAUUGGACAAUGGGCGCAAGCCUGAUCCAGCCAUGCCGCGUGAGUGAUGAAGGCCCUAGGGUUGUAAAGCUCUUUCACCGGUGAAGAUAAUGACGGUAACCGGAGAAGAAGCCCCGGCUAGCUUCGUGCCAGCAGCCGCCGUAA